GGAUCAUUACCGAGGUCGUCCCCUGUGGACGGUACUCUCACACCCUGUUGUUAUACCUGUUGCUUCGGCGGGACGUUGGUUUCAGCCACCGUCGGCGUUAGCGGGCGAGUGCCCGCCGAAGAUUUUACACUCUUGAUUUAUGAAGUCUGAGAAAAAUACAAAUGAAUAAAACUUUCAACAACGGAUCUCUUGGUUCUGGCAUCGAUGAAGAACGCAGCGAAAUGCGAUAAGUAAUGUGAAUUGCAGAAUUUAGUGAAUCAUCGAAUCUUUGAACGCACAUUGCGCCCCUUGGUAUUCCUCGGGGCACGCCUGUUCGAGCGCCGUUUCAAAUCUAAGGCUCAGCCUUGUGUUGGAGCAAUCCGCUCGCGGAUGCGCCGAAACUCAUCGGGCGCCUUCCUGUCCCUGGCAGCGUAGCAAGUCUUUUCGCUGUCUGGUUCUUGGAGGGUUGCCAGUCUACACGAGUUUGGCCUC
This 471-nucleotide ribosomal RNA is filed under the name Cladosporium sp. EXP0486F. Its description in RNAcentral is "eukaryotic LSU rRNA". The stretch from base 170 to 323 matches the Rfam family "5.8S ribosomal RNA". The record is from RNAcentral. Lineage: Eukaryota; Fungi; Ascomycota; Dothideomycetes; Cladosporiales; Cladosporiaceae.